RNAcentral lists this ribosomal RNA (503 nucleotides) under Bactrocera curvifera. RNAcentral's name for it is "partial large subunit ribosomal RNA". It matches the Rfam family "Bacterial large subunit ribosomal RNA", at positions 1799 to 2568 of the family's 2925-position model. The record is from RNAcentral. Lineage: Eukaryota; Metazoa; Arthropoda; Insecta; Diptera; Tephritidae. RNAcentral also lists the same sequence under 1 other name.
CCUGUUUAACAAAAACAUGUCUUUUUGAGUUAUUUUUAAAGUCUGACCUGCCCACUGAAAUUAUUUAAAUGGCCGCAGUAUUCUAACUGUGCAAAGGUAGCAUAAUCAUUAGUCUUUUAAUUGAAGGCUGGUAUGAACGGUUGGACGAGGUAUAAGCUGUUUCAUAAAAAUUUAUAAUAGAAUUUUAUAUUUUAGUCAAAAAGCUAAAAUUUAAUUAAAAGACGAGAAGACCCUAUAAAUCUUUAUACUUUAUAUUGUUUAAAUUUUUUGGAUUAGGUUUAUUUUUAUAAUUUGAAGUAUUUUGUUGGGGUGAUAUUAAAAUUUAAUGAACUUUUAAUUUUAAAAAAUCAUUAAUUUAUGAAUUGUUGAUCCAUUAAUAGUGAUUAUAAGAUUAAGUUACUUUAGGGAUAACAGCGUAAUUUUUUUGGAGAGUUCAUAUCGAUAAAAAAGUUUGCGACCUCGAUGUUGGAUUAAGAUAUAUUUUUAGGUGUAGCCGCUUAAAU